CCGGAGAGCUGGCCCGGGUAGGCGCUGGCCUUGUCGGCCAGGUCCACGAUGGACAAUGCCUCCAGUGCACGUUCGCGGCGUUCCUUCUUGGGC
Molecule: transfer RNA, 93 nt
Filed under: compost metagenome
Description: tRNA-Thr
Source: RNAcentral